UGGGGAAUAUUGCACAAUGGGCGAAAGCCUGAUGCAGCAACGCCGCGUGUGUGAAGAAGGCCUUCGGGUUGUAAAGCACUUUUGUCCGGAAAGAAAUCCUUGGCUCUAAUACAGUCGGGGGAUGACGGUACCGGAAGAAUAAGCACCGGCUAACUACGUGCCAGCAGCCGCGGUAAUACGUAGGGUGCAAGCGUUAAUCGGAAUUACUGGGCGUAAAGCGUGCGCAGGCGGUUUGCUAAGACCGAUGUGAAAUCCCCGGGCUCAACCUGGGAACUGCAUUGGUGACUGGCAGGCUAGAGUAUGGCAGAGGGGGGUAGAAUUCCACGUGUAGCAGUGAAAUGCGUAGAGAUGUGGAGGAAUACCGAUGGCGAAGGCAGCCCCCUGGGCCAAUACUGACGCUCAUGCAACGAAAGCGUGGGGAGCAAAACAGGAUUAGAUACCCUGGUAGUCCACGCCCUAAACGAUGUCAACUAGUUGUUGGGGAUUCAUUUCCUUGGUAACGUAGCUAACGCGUGAAGUUGACCGCCUGGGGAGUACGGUCGCAAGAUUAAAA
RNAcentral lists this ribosomal RNA (553 nucleotides) under uncultured bacterium. Its description in RNAcentral is "partial 16S ribosomal RNA". It matches the Rfam family "Bacterial small subunit ribosomal RNA", at positions 355 to 899 of the family's 1533-position model. The record is from RNAcentral.